RNAcentral lists this non-coding RNA (45 nucleotides) under Schistosoma haematobium. Lineage: Eukaryota; Metazoa; Platyhelminthes; Trematoda; Strigeidida; Schistosomatidae. The record is from RNAcentral.
AUCCAGUUGACGAAUCCCAAACAGGACGAAACAUGCGCCUUGGAU